GUGCUUUCCAGCCAAGGAGUGCACGUGGUGGAGCUACUGAGCAGGCUUGAGAGCAUCCUGGAGAGAGGAUUAGUUGCUGGGGAGAUGGCCAACCCAGAUUCUAAGUGGAAAACUCCUGAACAAAGGAAAAACUAAUGCUGGUCAAUGCAGCUGGGAUUCAUCACACUCUCCAUCUCUUACAAGUUUUUGUGCAUCUGAUUGGGGAUUUAUUGUGUCAGGUCAAGAUGCACAAAACACUAGGAAUGAAUAAGUGAUGAAUUCCAUCCCUGUGGAAAAAAGGACACAAUCUAUCUAUUCCACUUGAACCAGACCACCUGCUGGAUUCUCCACACUUGUCCUUGGCAAUCCUGCCACAAGGAAUGACCACUGUGAAAAACUUAG
This is a long non-coding RNA of Passer montanus (Eurasian tree sparrow), 381 nucleotides long. RefSeq lists it as uncharacterized. Lineage: Eukaryota; Metazoa; Chordata; Aves; Passeriformes; Passeridae. The record is from RefSeq and is a predicted model, not a curated record. The transcript has 3 exons.